RNAcentral lists this ribosomal RNA (492 nucleotides) under uncultured bacterium. RNAcentral's name for it is "partial 16S ribosomal RNA". It matches the Rfam family "Bacterial small subunit ribosomal RNA", at positions 29 to 507 of the family's 1533-position model. The record is from RNAcentral.
AGUGAACGCUGGCGGUAGGCCUAACACAUGCAAGUCGAACGGCAGCACAGUAAGAGCUUGCUCUUACGGGUGGCGAGUGGCGGACGGGUGAGGAAUACAUCGGAAUCUACUUUUUCGUGGGGGAUAACGUAGGGAAACUUACGCUAAUACCGCAUAUGACCUACGGGUGAAAGUAGGGGAUCUUCGGACCUUGCGCGAUUGAAUGAGCCGAUGUCGGAUUAGCUAGUUGGCGGGGUAAAGGCCCACCAAGGCGACGAUCCGUAGCUGGUCUGAGAGGAUGAUCAGCCACACUGGAACUGAGACACGGUCCAGACUCCUACGGGAGGCAGCAGUGGGGAAUAUUGGACAAUGGGCGCAAGCCUGAUCCAGCCAUACCGCGUGGGUGAAGAAGGCCUUCGGGUUGUAAAGCCCUUUUGUUGGGAAAGAAAAGCAGCAGGUUAAUACCCCGCUGUUCUGACGGUACCCAAAGAAUAAGCACCGGCUAACUUCGUG